UGCUCGGUUAAUAUCUUUUGUUUUUCUCGUUGCUGGGUUGUUGUCUCGUAGAUAUGUACACCAUAGCUUGCUUUGUACUUUUAGAUAAUAUUUUGAUCUUGUUGUGUUUAGUUCUAUAUCGCUUUUUGUCUUUAUAAUAUUUUCUGCAUGUCAGAAUUUUCUAGUGGGUUUUCAUGGUUCAUUAUUUUAUUAAUGGCGUUUGAUUUAUCUUUUUUUUUCUUCUUUUUUUUUUCUUUUUUGGUUUUACAUAUAUUUUGUAUAUUCACGAUAAAUAAUGAUAUAAAGGUGUCUUCUUGUCUCAUAUGAAAGGUAAUUGACCUGUUGUGACAUUAUUAUCAUUUAUAGGUCAUGUGAUUCUACUUUAACACGACUGUCCUUCCAAAGUACUCUAUCUGGGUGACAUAGAGAACAGGAGAAGCUAUCAUUAUAUAUGUAGUAGUUCUUGUGUUCUGUGUUGAUAAUAAGAAUAGUAUAAUUGCAAAACAGGAAAAACUAGCAAGAUACAUUAACCUAAAAAUUAAAAAAAAAGUGGGAAGCCAAUCCAGUGUAUAAGCACCUAGCUGUGAUCGAUAGGGUUUUCGUGCUACAAUUUUUCAACAGUUUCAAUUUCAGGAUGCUGUCUCUUUAUUUGUAUCUAAUGUUGUGUUGUAAAUAUAUAUCCUGCAUAUUGUGUCUGAACAUAGCUAGUCUUUUAUCGUUUAUCUGUUCAUGACUGGUUGGAUUUUAGCUCCACGAAUGACCAAAAAAUGUGUCACGAGUACGAGUAUGAUCAGAAAUAUUCAAAAUUCAAAAAAUGUGUCAAUGUGGUACGAGUAUGAUCAGAAAU
This 826-nucleotide long non-coding RNA is filed under the name Mytilus galloprovincialis (Mediterranean mussel). The record is from RNAcentral. Lineage: Eukaryota; Metazoa; Mollusca; Bivalvia; Mytilida; Mytilidae.